RNAcentral lists this ribosomal RNA (959 nucleotides) under Lactarius akahatsu. RNAcentral's name for it is "eukaryotic LSU rRNA". It matches the Rfam family "Eukaryotic large subunit ribosomal RNA", at positions 1 to 938 of the family's 3401-position model. Lineage: Eukaryota; Fungi; Basidiomycota; Agaricomycetes; Russulales; Russulaceae. The record is from RNAcentral.
UUGACCUCAAAUCGGGUGAGACUACCCGCUGAACUUAAGCAUAUCAAUAAGCGGAGGAAAAGAAACUAACAAGGAUUCCCCUAGUAACUGCGAGUGAAGCGGGAAAAGCUCAAAUUUAAAAUCUGGCGGUCGAAGGCCGUCCGAGUUGUAAUUUAGAGAAGCGUCUUCCGCGCCGGACCGUGCACAAGUCUCCUGGAAUGGAGCGUCAUAGAGGGUGAGAAUCCCGUCUUUGGCACGGAUGCCUGUGCUUCUGCGAUGCGCUCUCGAAGAGUCGAGUUGUUUGGGAAUGCAGCUCAAAAUGGGUGGUGAACUCCAUCUAAAGCUAAAUAUUGGCGAGAGACCGAUAGCGAACAAGUACCGUGAGGGAAAGAUGAAAAGCACUUUGGAAAGAGAGUGAAACAGUACGUGAAAUUGUUGAAAGGGAAACGCUUGAAGUCAGUCGCGUCGACCGAGACUCAGCCUUGCCUUGGCUUGGUGUACUUCUCGGCCCGACGGGUCAGCGUCAAUUUUGCCCCUCGGAUAAUGGCAAGGGAAAGGUGGCACCUUUGCGGGUGUGUUAUAGUCUCCUGUCGCAUGCGAGGGGUGGGAUUGAGGAACUCAGCGUGCACCUUGGUGUCGGGGCUUCGGCCCACGUCACGCGCUUAGGAUGCUGGCGUAAUGGCUUUAAACGACCCGUCUUGAAACACGGACCAAGGAGUCCAACACGCCCGCGAGUGUUCGGGUGGAAAACCCGUGCGCGCAAUGAAAGUGAAAGUUGGGACCUCUGUCGUGGAGGGCACCGACGCCCGGACCAGACCUUCUGUGACGGAUCUGCGGUAGAGCGUGUGUGUUGGGACCCGAAAGAUGGUGAACUAUGCCUGAAUAGGGUGAAGCCAGAGGAAACUCUGGUGGAGGCUCGUAGCGAUUCUGACGUGCAAAUCGAUCGUCAAAUUUGGGUAUAGGGGCGAAAGACUAAUCGA